UGCCAGCCGCCGCGGUAAUACGGAGGGUGCAAGCGUUAAUCGGAAUUACUGGGCGUAAAGCGCGCGUAGGCGGCUAAAUGAGUCAGAUGUGAAAGCCCCGGGCUCAACCUGGGAACGGCAUUUGAUACUGUUUAGCUAGAGUCUGUCAGAGGGUGGCGGAAUUCCGGGUGUAGCGGUGAAAUGCGUAGAUAUCCGGAGGAACACCGGUGGCGAAGGCGGCUAACUGGCUCGGUACUGACGCUGAGAUGCGAAAGCGUGGGGAGCAAACAGGAUUAGAUA
RNAcentral lists this ribosomal RNA (279 nucleotides) under uncultured bacterium. RNAcentral's name for it is "partial 16S ribosomal RNA". It matches the Rfam family "Bacterial small subunit ribosomal RNA", at positions 506 to 784 of the family's 1533-position model. The record is from RNAcentral.